Molecule: long non-coding RNA, 793 nt
Filed under: Homo sapiens (human)
Lineage: Eukaryota; Metazoa; Chordata; Mammalia; Primates; Hominidae
Description: non-protein coding lnc-A1BG-2:5
Source: RNAcentral
CGGCACUCGCAGUCCGUCUACUCACGUCCCCUAGUCAGCCUCUCACUCUCUACCCGCUGGGCGGUACCCCGCAUCUCGCUCUGGCCGCCCCAGAGGUUCGCGGCUUCUGGACCUGCUGUGCCCCUCUCCAGCCUGGAUCAGGACGGAGAACACCCCCGAAACCCACCUCACCAGCACAGCCGGCGGACCCUUCCGGAGGUGGCCGCAGAGACUAGCCAACUUGCGCGCCCGCCGACCCGGACCACAGCUCCCAGCACACCUCAAGGGCCCACGCCCGCCAGGACUACAAUUCCCGGCGUCCUCCGGAAGCUCAAGUGUACCCAGGCGCGGUGCCUGCUGGGAAUUGUAGUUGACGUUGGUCAGCACGGAGGCCACAGGAUCCCAGCCCGGCCUUUGUGGGACUGAGGUGGCGCUGAGUGGGAGAGCAGCAGGCGAUGCGCGAAAGGCGGGACUUGGAGGUUCUGGAUGUUCCUGUGGAUAACCUCAAGGAGCACGGGACCUGGGACAUGACUGCCCCCAGCAUUCCUUCUGGCGGCAGACAGAGUUUGUCAGUUCGCCAACAUCCUGCUUUCAUGAGAACAGUUUGCUGUUUGCUCACAGAGCCUCCAGUGGUAUACUGAGUUGGUCACGACCCUCAUUCCUUCGGCCUCCAACAUCUCCCCUUUUGUUUUUGCAUUAAUUGAAUAAAGGUAAUUUCAGGCUGUGCAGCUUUCAAUUGCCGGUUGGUGGUUCACCCGAUCCUAUAGACUAUGAGCAAAAAAACAGAGACAUAACAACAUUAUUCUUGUAAUUA